UCGUAGAGGAGUCAAGAGGGUUUCCCAUUCAUUUCACUUUUUCUUAAGCAGCACGUGAAGCUCUUUUGUUGGUAUUUACAUGAUUGCAUCGUGACAUUUAAAAGAUAAGUUGCUCAUUUUAUCUUUACGUAACUUCAAUGUUCUCUUAAGAGAGAAGCAUUGUGAGGAGAAGGAGUCAAAGAUAUUGUUCGUUAUUUAUUUUCCAAUAUUUGGUUCUUGAUAGUUGAUUUCAUUAGUUACUUUUAUUUACUUGUGUAUAUGAUUUCUUACCUAUAUGAUUUGACUCCAUUAUACUUUUUUUUUACUUCUGAAUUGGGAUUGAUUUCGUCUCCUUUAUAUUUGUGAGUUACUCCUUGUUGCAAGCACUGUUUGAAACGAAUCAACUAUUGGAUCAAGACUAUAGAUAAGAACCUAAUUAUGUAGCUGCAGAGGUUUAUUAAGUUGGUUUUUCAUUUGUUUCUAAGUCUAUGCUUACAACUGUCUUUCUUGAUGUCAUAGUGCAUAGACAUGCUCGAAGUUGUUACAUUUUGUGGUGCUCGAAAUAGAGAUUUGAUUAGAUAUAGUUAUGAGCUUUUGCACGGGAUAAGAAGUGGAAGAUUACUGAGAUCAAGUCAUGAUUAGAAGAAGCUGAUGACUUGAUCUGGAAAAUGGAUCUUGAGGCUAGAAGUUUGCAGCCGAGUGCUAAAGUUGAAUUCAAACGAGUCUCGUCCGUGGCGAAUUGAUGGAAUCCAGAAUGGCGGAUCUGCGUGCAGUAUCUGCUGAUAAAAGAGGUAGAUUGGCAAUGUCAGUGAAGAGGCUUGACCAAUCAAGCAACAGAGUCAGGGAGAGUAGAAGACUAAUGCUGGAGACAAGCUGAGGUUGGCAUCUCAGUUUCCCAAGAUCUGAGUCAGCAACGCCAAACACUUCUUCAUGUGCAGACCAAGGUUGUGAAAAUCGAUGGGCGUGUGGUUUCUGACGGAAAAGUUGGCCGGGUAACAAGAACACUGCAAAACGCUUACAAGAAAGACAGAGGAUUCUGGUGUGCCAUUCUAGUUUCUCCAAUGUAUAUUUGAGAAGGUGCAGCCCCAUCCCGUGGUGAUUAAUCUGUUAACUAGAGUCGAAGAAAUCAGACCGAAAUGGAAAAUAGUUCCUACAAAAGACGUGAUUGACGCUGCUUUCAAGGACCUCGUCUAGCGAGAAGAGGUAAGGGACAACAAGCUGAUAUAUCAAGACAAGCCUAGGCUUAAAACAGCACUUGAGAUAUUCAGGACAAGCAAGAACCUCGAAGAUAGUCUCCACGAGUUUCAUUACUUAUAUAUUAUUUUUGAUCCCAUGAUAUGAGUUUCCUGACAAAAUUACUUGACUAAGACAACAUGUGAUCGGAUUGUGUAGAUAACAAUACCUUUCUUUGUAUUACACGGAGAAGCAGAUAUAGUGACGGAUCCAGAGAUAAGCAAAGCCCAGUACGAGAAAGCUAGCACGUUUUGGUCUCUUUCUUUUAAUGGUCCUCAGAUACAGGGGAUAUCACGUUUUGGUCUCUCUUUUUUAAUGGUCCUCAGGCUUUGGCUCCUAAAUUGCAACAUGUGGCUUUCUUCUGUUGAUCACUCCCAAUGAAAUGCAUUUUUUCUACGAAGAGCAGCUGCAUCGAAUGGAAGGAACAUGUACUCUUUGAAGCUAUCCUAUGUCAAAUAUUCGACAUGAUUAAACCAGAGUCAAGAGUUCUUUCAAAUCAUAACAUGAAGGACAACUGCAUCUCACUACACGAUCUGCAUGCAUCUAAACUUUCUGGAAAUGUUUUAAAUAUACUCUUCAACCGUAACAAAUUCAUGGCGCCUGAAACUCAUGACCCUUUUCUCAUUCGCCAGGAGUACUUUGACUUGAGUCACUUGGUUAACGCAUUCAAAUAAGCUCCUUAAACCCUUUUUACUGAAUUAGUAUGUGUUUCUUUCACCUUUAUUAAGUCUCUGAUGUUCAUUGUUAUUUCUUUUAACAGGUUUUCUAUACGUGAUUGAUCAAUACUUGUUUAUGUAUACGAGGAAUCCGGGAACGUGUAUCUUCGUCAUGACGUGAUUAUACCCGAGGUUCCAUUGUACACAACACGGCUUGAUUGUCCUCUCCAAGCGACUUCUUUUUUUCCUGUGGUUGAAUGGUGUGCUGCUACCUUGUGUACAACUGGGACGAAUAGCCGGACAGGUGUGACAACCAACUUUUGAAAAUUUCAGCUUGAAGAAAUGUGGAUAAAGCUUCAGCUCUAAUACAAAGCACGCCCAAUAAAUAUCCUUUGAUUUAUAUCUUUUGCUUGAUGAUGGUUGUGUCUAUCCGCUCUUUAUUUGUUUUGACAGUUUCUUUGGAAAUAUAGGUUCAGCUAAGGGCUUAAACAUUCUGGAGAUGGAGGUAGACAGACUAAAUACUGACCAGAGUGUUCUCCAUUAUAAUGUAAGCUACCACCAAUAUGAUAUUUUGUUAAGAUUUUACAUGACACGAUUAGCAGUCGCCAUUUUUGUGGUAAUGUUUUUUUCUGCAAGUUCGUGUGAGGUUUAACACAGAAUCAUUUCAUAUUG
Molecule: long non-coding RNA, 2540 nt
Organism: Arabidopsis lyrata subsp. lyrata
Lineage: Eukaryota; Viridiplantae; Streptophyta; Magnoliopsida; Brassicales; Brassicaceae
Exons: 12
Source: RefSeq, a predicted model, not a curated record